This 501-nucleotide ribosomal RNA is filed under the name uncultured bacterium. RNAcentral's name for it is "partial 16S ribosomal RNA". It matches the Rfam family "Bacterial small subunit ribosomal RNA", at positions 29 to 523 of the family's 1533-position model. The record is from RNAcentral.
AUUGGACGCUGGCGGCAUGCCUUACACAUGCAAGUCGAACGGCAGCACGGGUGCUUGCACCUGGUGGCGAGUGGCGAACGGGUGAGUAAUACAUCGGAACGUACCUUAUCGUGGGGGAUAACGCAGCGAAAGCUGUGCUAAUACCGCAUACGCCCUGAGGGGGAAAGCGGGGGAUCGAAAGACCUCGCGCGAUUAGAGCGGCCGAUGCCUGAUUAGCUUGUUGGUGGGGUAGAAGCCCACCAAGGCGACGAUCAGUAGCUGGUCUGAGAGGACGAUCAGCCACACUGGGACUGAGACACGGCCCAGACUCCUACGGGAGGCAUCAGUGGGGAAUUUUGGACAAUGGGGGCAACCCUGAUCCAGCAAUGCCGCGUGAGUGAAGAAGGCCUUCGGGUUGUAAAGCUCUUUUGUCAGGGAAGAAACACCGGCUCUAACACAGUCCGGGAAUGACGGUACCUGAAGAAUAAGCACCGGCUAACUACGUGCCAGCCGCCGCGGUAA